GUUGGGUGUGGUGGCUCACACCUGUAAUCCUAGCAUUUUGGGAGGCUGAGGCAGGUGGAUGGCUUGAGCUCAGGAGUUUGAGACUAGUGUGGGCAACAUGAUGAAACCCUGUCUCUACAAAAAACACAAAAAUUAGCUGGGCAUGGUGGCGUGUGCCUGUAGUCCCAUCUACUUGGGAGGCUGAGGUGGGAGGAUGGCUUGAGCCAAGGAAGUAGAGGUUGCAGUGAGCCAUGAUCGUGCUGCCACUGCACUCUAGCCUGGGCAACAGAGCCAGACCCUAUCUCA
This 285-nucleotide small RNA is filed under the name Colobus angolensis palliatus. RNAcentral's name for it is "Metazoan signal recognition particle RNA (ENSCANG00000000896.1)". The stretch from base 136 to 285 matches the Rfam family "Metazoan signal recognition particle RNA". Rfam says of the family: The signal recognition particle (SRP) is a universally conserved ribonucleoprotein. Lineage: Eukaryota; Metazoa; Chordata; Mammalia; Primates; Cercopithecidae. The record is from RNAcentral.